GGGGUUGUGGCUCAGUGGCAGAGCACUUACCUUACGAAUAUGAGGCACUGGAUUCAAUCCUCAGCACCACA
RNAcentral lists this transfer RNA (71 nucleotides) under Marmota monax (woodchuck). RNAcentral describes it as "tRNA.Val". It matches the Rfam family "tRNA". From Rfam's summary of the family: Transfer RNA (tRNA) molecules are approximately 80 nucleotides in length. Their secondary structure includes four short double-helical elements and three loops (D, anti-codon, and T loops). Lineage: Eukaryota; Metazoa; Chordata; Mammalia; Rodentia; Sciuridae. The record is from RNAcentral.